CACGCCCUAAACUGUGGAAACUAGGUACAGGGAGUAUCGACCCUUCCUGCGCCGUAGCUAACGCGUUAAGUUUCCCGCCUGGGGACUACGGUCGCAAGACUAAAACUCAAAGGAAUUGACGGGGGCCCGCACAAGCAGCGGAGCGUGUGGUUUAAUUCGAUGCAACACGAAGAACCUUACCAAGGCUUGACAUGCUGGAAGUAGCGAACCGAAAGGGGAGCCAACUGUUAAGUCAGUAGCCUGCACAGGUGC
RNAcentral lists this ribosomal RNA (252 nucleotides) under uncultured Chloroflexota bacterium. Its description in RNAcentral is "uncultured Chloroflexi bacterium partial 16S ribosomal RNA". It matches the Rfam family "Bacterial small subunit ribosomal RNA", at positions 796 to 1041 of the family's 1533-position model. The record is from RNAcentral. Lineage: Bacteria; Bacillati; Chloroflexota.